Molecule: ribosomal RNA, 110 nt
Filed under: uncultured eukaryote
Lineage: Eukaryota
Description: partial small subunit ribosomal RNA
Rfam family: Eukaryotic small subunit ribosomal RNA
Source: RNAcentral
UCGCUCCUACCGAUUGAAUGAUCCGGUAAAGUCUUUGGACCGUGACUAUCAGGUGGCAACAUCUGGUAGCUGUGGGAAGUUGAUUAAACCUUAUCAUUUAGAGGAAGGAG